UCCGAUCUGGGGAACCCGGAGAACUGAAACAUCUAAGUACCCGGAGGAAGAGAAAGAAAUUCGAUUCCGUAAGUAGCGGCGAGCGAACGCGGAACAGGCCAAACCAGUGAAGUUUUCUUCGCUGGGGUUGCGGACAUAUCAUAACGAAGAGGUAUCGUAGAAGAAGAGAGUUGGAAAGCUCCGCCAUAGAUGGUAACAGCCCAGUAUUUUAAACGAGAAGACUUUAGAUAUGAUCCAGAGUACCACGGGACACGUGAAACCCUGUGGGAAGCAGGAGGGACCAUCCUCCAAGCCUAAAUACUACCUAGUGACCGAUAGCGUAUAGUACCGUGAGGGAAAGGUGAAAAGAACCCCGGGAGGGGAGUGAAAGAGAACCUGAAACCCUGCACUUACAAGCUGUAGGAGCACAUUAUUUGUGUGACUGCGUACUUUUUGUAGAACGGGCCAACGAGUUACGUUGUGUAGCAAGGUUAAGCACUUAAGGUGUGGAGCCGUAGCGAAAGCGAGUCUUAAAUGGGCGUCCAGUUACCCGACGUAGACCCGAAACCAGGCGACCUAUCCAUGAGCAGGUUGAAGCGAAAGUAAAAUUUCGUGGAGGACCGAACCCACGUACGUUGAAAAGUGCGGGGAUGACUUGUGGAUAGCGGUGAAAUUCCAAUCGAGCCUGGAGAUAGCUGGUUCUCCCCGAAAUAGCUUUAGGGCUAGCCUCAAGCUUAGAGAAACGGAGGUAGAGCACUGAAUGUCCUAGGGGGUAUUGCACUUACCGAAGACUAUCAAACUCCGAAUGCCGUAUUCUUUUGCUUGGGAGUCAGACUAUGGGUGAUAAGAUUCAUAGUCAAGAGGGCAACAGCCCAGAUCGUCAGCUAAGGUCCCUAAAUGUAAGUUAAGUGGUAAAGGAUGUGGAAUUGCACAGACAACCAGGAUGUUGGCUUAGAAGCAGCCACUCAUUUAAAGAGUGCGUAAUAGCUCACUGGUCGAGUGAUUCUGCGCCGAAAAUUUCCGGGGCUAAAACUUACUACCGAAGCUACGGCAUCAUUAUGAUGGGUAGGGGAGCUUUCUAUGUGGCUUGAAGCAUGACCGUAAGGACAUGUGGACUGCAUAGAAGUGAGAAUGUUGGCAUGAGUAGCGAGAUGUGGGUGAGAAUCCCACAGGCCGUAAACCCAAGGUUUCCAGGGGAAGGUUCGUCCGCCCUGGGUUAGUCAGGACCUAAGCCGAGGCCGAAAGGCGUAGGUGAUGGACAACAGGUUGAUAUUCCUGUACCACCAAUAACCGUUUGAGAAAUGGGAUGACACAGUAGGAUAAGCUAACCGCACUGUUGGUUAUGUGCGGGCAAGUAUUGAGGCAGUUCCGAUAGGCAAAUCCGUCGGAAUAAUGCUGGGGUACGAUGCGGAGCGAAAUUUAGUAGCGAAGUAGCUGAUUUCACACUGUCGAGAAAAGUCUCUAUCGAGGUUAAAGGUGCCUGUACCGCAAACCGACACAGGUGGGUGAGGAGAGUAUCCUAAGGCCAGCGAGAGAACUGUUGUUAAGGAACUCGGCAAAAUGACCCCGUAACUUAGGGAGAAGGGGUGCCUUCGAAAGAAGGCCGCAGAGAAUAGGCCCAAGCGACUGUUUACCAAAAACAUAGGUUUCUGCUAAGUCGCAAGACGAUGUAUAGGAGCUGACGCCUGCCCGGUGCUGGAAGGUUAAGGGGAUCUGUUAGAGCAAUCGAAGCAGUGAACUUAAGCCCCAGUAAACGGCGGCCGUAACUAUAACGGUCCUAAGGUAGCGAAAUUCCUUGUCGGGUAAGUUCCGACCCGCACGAAAGGCGUAACGAUUUGGGCACUGUCUCAACAACAGACUCGGUGAAAUUGUAAUACCGGUGAAGAUGCCGGUUACCUGCGACAGGACGGAAAGACCCCAUGGAGCUUUACUGUAGCUUGACAUUGGGUCUCGGUACUACAUGUACAGGAUAGGUGGGAGACUGAGAAAUCUGGGCGUCAGUUUAGAUGGAGUCAUCCUUGGGAUACCACCCUUGUAGUAUUGGGACUCUAACCAUAGGCCAUGAAUCUGGUCUUGGGACACUGUCUGGUGGGCAGUUUGACUGGGGCGGUCGCCUCCCAAAAAGUAACGGAGGCGCUCAAAGGUUCCCUCAGUA
RNAcentral lists this ribosomal RNA (2134 nucleotides) under human gut metagenome. RNAcentral's name for it is "bacterial LSU rRNA". It matches the Rfam family "Bacterial large subunit ribosomal RNA", at positions 170 to 2327 of the family's 2925-position model. The record is from RNAcentral.